GGGAAUAUUGGACAAUGGGGGAAACCCUGACCCAGCAAUACCGCGUGAGGGAUGAAGGUCUUCGGGUCGUAAACCUCUGUCAGUAGGAACGAUGGGUCUCAAGGUUAAUACCCUUGAGACUUGACGGUACCUACAAAGGAAGCCCCGGCUAACUCCGUGCCAGCAGCCGCGGUAAUACGAAGGGGGCUAGCGUUGCUCGGAAUCACUGGGCGUAAAGCGCACGUAGGCGGCUCUUUAAGUCAGGGGUGAAAUCCUGGAGCUCAACUCCAGAACUGCCUUUGAUACUGAGGAGCUCGAGUCCGGGAGAGGUGAGUGGAACUGCGAGUGUAGAGGUGAAAUUCGUAGAUAUUCGCAAGAACACCAGUGGCGAAGGCGGCUCACUGGCCCGGUACUGACGCUGAGGUGCGAAAGCGUGGGGAGCAAA
Molecule: ribosomal RNA, 424 nt
Filed under: uncultured bacterium
Lineage: Bacteria
Description: bacterial SSU rRNA
Rfam family: Bacterial small subunit ribosomal RNA
Source: RNAcentral